GAUUCCCCCAGUAGCGGCGAGCGAACGGGGAGGAGCCCAGAGCCUGAAUCAGUGUGUGUGUUAGUGGAAGCGUCUGGAAAGGCGCGCGAUACAGGGUGACAGCCCCGUACACAAAAAUACACAUAUUGUGAGCUCGAUGAGUAGGGCGGGACACGUGGUAUCCUGUCUGAAUAUGGGGGGACCAUCCUCCAAGGCUAAAUACUCCUGACUGACCGAUAGUGAACCAGUACCGUGAGGGAAAGGCGAAAAGAACCCCGGCGAGGGGAGUGAAAAAGAACCUGAAACCGUGUACGUACAAGCAGUGGGAGCACGCUUAGGCGUGUGACUGCGUACCUUUUGUAUAAUGGGUCAGCGACUUAUAUUCUGUAGCAAGGUUAACCGAAUAGGGGAGCCGAAGGGAAACCGAGUCUUAACUGGGCGUUAAGUUGCAGGGUAUAGACCCGAAACCCGGUGAUCUAGCCAUGGGCAGGUUGAAGGUUGGGUAACACUAACUGGAGGACCGAACCGACUAAUGUUGAAAAAUUAGCGGAUGACUUGUGGCUGGGGGUGAAAGGCCAAUCAAACCGGGAGAUAGCUGGUUCUCCCCGAAAGCUAUUUAGGUAGCGCCUCGUGAAUUCAUCUCCGGGGGUAGAGCACUGUUUCGGCA
Molecule: ribosomal RNA, 646 nt
Filed under: Shigella sonnei
Lineage: Bacteria; Pseudomonadati; Pseudomonadota; Gammaproteobacteria; Enterobacterales; Enterobacteriaceae
Description: partial 23S ribosomal RNA
Rfam family: Bacterial large subunit ribosomal RNA
Source: RNAcentral